GACCUCACCCCGAUGGCGUAGCGGACGACCCCGGCGCGCUCCGCCUGCGGGAUGACGUCGC
MicroRNA precursor from Gallus gallus (chicken), 61 nucleotides. The record is from Ensembl. NCBI's taxonomy places the organism in Eukaryota, Metazoa, Chordata, Aves, Galliformes, Phasianidae.